RNAcentral lists this transfer RNA (73 nucleotides) under Candidatus Pacearchaeota archaeon. Its description in RNAcentral is "tRNA-Met". It matches the Rfam family "tRNA". Rfam says of the family: Transfer RNA (tRNA) molecules are approximately 80 nucleotides in length. Lineage: Archaea; Nanobdellati. The record is from RNAcentral.
GGCGCUGUAGCUCAGUGGUAGUAGCGCGUGUCUCAUAAGCACGAGGUCGGGAGUUCAAUUCUCCCUAGCGCCA